GAUGAACGCUGGCGGCGUGCCUAAUACAUGCAAGUCGAGCGAACGGACGAGAAGCUUGCUUCUCUGAUGUUAGCGGCGGACGGGUGAGUAACACGUGGAUAACCUACCUAUAAGACUGGGAUAACUUCGGGAAACCGGAGCUAAUACCGGAUAAUAUUUUGAACCGCAUGGUUCAAAAGUAAAAGACGGUCUUGCUGUCACUUAUAGAUGGAUCCGCGCUGCAUUAGCUAGUUGGUAAGGUAACGGCUUACCAAGGCAACGAUGCAUAGCCGACCUGAGAGGGUGGUCGGCCACACUGGAACUGAGACACGGUACAGACUCCUACGGGAGGCAGCAGUAGGGAAUCUUCCGCAAUGGGCGAAAGCCUGACGGAGCAACGCCGCGUGAGUGAUGAAGGUCUUCGGAUCGUAAAACUCUGUUAUUAGGGAAGAACAUAUGUGUAAGUAACUGUGCACAUCUUGACGGUACCUAAUCAGAAAGCCACGGCUAACUACGUG
Molecule: ribosomal RNA, 497 nt
Filed under: uncultured bacterium
Lineage: Bacteria
Description: partial 16S ribosomal RNA
Rfam family: Bacterial small subunit ribosomal RNA
Source: RNAcentral